Molecule: non-coding RNA, 336 nt
Organism: Anolis carolinensis (green anole)
Lineage: Eukaryota; Metazoa; Chordata; Lepidosauria; Squamata; Anolidae
Rfam family: 7SK RNA
About the family: 7SK was discovered as an abundant small nuclear RNA in the mid-70s but a possible function has only recently been suggested.
Source: Rfam
GGAUGUGAAGGCGAUUUGGCUGUGACAUCUGUCACCCCAUUGAUCGCCACGGUUGAUUCGGCUGUUCUGGCUGGCUAGGCGGGUGUCCCCUUUCUCCCUCACCGCUCCAUGUGUGUCCCUCCCGAAGUUGCGUGCUCGGUGGAAGAGGACGAUGUCCCAUGUAUAGAAGAAGUGUACCGAGGUCUCCAGUCUUCGGUCCCAAGUAUACGAUAUUGCCUCAUAAGUACACAUUUAAUGGAUUUGAUCCGACUUAUAAGGAUUAACGAAAACAUUGCACAUGCCUAUUAAAAACUAAAUCUCAGCCCUUAUUAUAUUAUAGUGAUACCAGUGAUAAGG